AAUAUAAUUUUUUAGUCACCUGUUGCUAAGCACCGAUUCCAAUUCCAAACGUGUGCUGUUCGACGGGUAGCGACGUAGCGACGUUAGUGAACCUGGAGGCGGUGGACAGCUGACGCACUGCACGUAAGGCUUUGAAUCUAGGAGCCAGUUGGUCUUCUCUUUACAAUUUGGGGCCAUGGCACAUCCUUUGGUGGUUCUUCCUCUACAGAUUCAAGGUGUAUCCAGGCUCAUCUGCCCAAGCAGUCAACACAGCAUUUUAUUGACCUGACCUUUGUGUUUCCUUACCUUUCUCAGGUAUGAAGCCAAAACUCUUUUUGAUGCAGAGCACAAACUGAAGUUAGCUUGCUACAGCAGCUGGAGAUGAACAUAAAGAGAGGAACCCUGCUUAUG
Molecule: long non-coding RNA, 390 nt
Organism: Centropristis striata (black sea bass)
Lineage: Eukaryota; Metazoa; Chordata; Actinopteri; Perciformes; Serranidae
Exons: 4
Source: RefSeq, a predicted model, not a curated record